RNAcentral lists this ribosomal RNA (601 nucleotides) under uncultured bacterium. RNAcentral describes it as "bacterial SSU rRNA". It matches the Rfam family "Bacterial small subunit ribosomal RNA", at positions 730 to 1337 of the family's 1533-position model. The record is from RNAcentral.
UGUAGCGCCACUGACGCUGAUGCUCGAAAGCGUGGGUAUCGAACAGGAUUAGAUACCCUGGUAGUCCACGCGGUAAACGAUGGAUGCUCGCUGUGUGCCUAUGAGGUACGUGGCCAAGGGAAACCAUUAAGCAUCCCACCUGGGGAGUACGCCGGCAACGGUGAAACUCAAAGGAAUUGACGGGGGCCCGCACAAGCGGAGGAACAUGUGGUUUAAUUCGAUGAUACGCGAGGAACCUUACCCGGGCUUGAAUUGCAGAUGAAGGAUCCAGAGAUGGUGACGCCCUUCGGGGCAUCUGUGAAGGUGCUGCAUGGUUGUCGUCAGCUCGUGCCGUGAGGUGUCGGCUCAAGUGCCAUAACGAGCGCAACCCCUCUCUUCAGUUGCCAUCAGGUUAAGCUGGGCACUCUGGAGACACUGCCACCGUAAGGUGUGAGGAGGGUGGGGAUGACGUCAAAUCAGCACGGCCCUUACGUCCGGGGCUACACACGUGUUACAAUGGGUGGUACAGAGAGUUGGGUGCCCGCAAGGUCACUCUAAUCAAUAAAUCCAUCCUCAGUUCGGACUGGGGUCUGCAACCCGACCCCACGAAGCUGGAUCGCUA